AACGAACGCUGGCGGCAUGCCUAACACAUGCAAGUCGAACGAGACCUUCGGGUCUAGUGGCGCACGGGUGCGUAACGCGUGGGAACCUGCCCUUAGGUUCGGAAUAACUCCCCGAAAGGGGUGCUAAUACCGGAUAAUGUCUUCGGACCAAAGAUUUAUCGCCUUUGGAUGGGCCCGCGUUGGAUUAGCUAGUUGGUAGGGUAAAAGCCUACCAAGGCGACGAUCCAUAGCUGGUCUGAGAGGAUGAUCAGCCACACUGGGACUGAGACACGGCCCAGACUCCUACGGGAGGCAGCAGUGGGGGAUAUUGGACAAUGGGCGGAAGCAUGAUCCAGCAAUGCCGCGUGAGUGAUGAAGGCCUUAGGGUUGCAAAGCUCUUUUACCCGGGAUGAUAAUGACAGUACCGGGAGAAUAAGCUCCGGCUAACUCCGUG
This 433-nucleotide ribosomal RNA is filed under the name uncultured bacterium. Its description in RNAcentral is "partial 16S ribosomal RNA". It matches the Rfam family "Bacterial small subunit ribosomal RNA", at positions 29 to 507 of the family's 1533-position model. The record is from RNAcentral.